Molecule: ribosomal RNA, 255 nt
Filed under: uncultured prokaryote
Description: partial 16S ribosomal RNA
Rfam family: Bacterial small subunit ribosomal RNA
Source: RNAcentral
UACGGAGGAUGCAAGCGUUAUCCGGAUUUAUUGGGUUUAAAGGGUGCGCAGGUUGUUUGAUAAGUCAGUGGUGAAAGUCUGUCGCUUAACGGUAGGAUUGCCAUUGAUACUGUUAGACUUGAAUAUGGAUGAGGUAGGCGGAAUCUGUAGUGUAGCGGUGAAAUGCAUAGAUAUUACACAGAACACCGAUUGCGAAGGCAGCUUACUAAUCCAUCAUUGACGCUGAGGCACGAAAGCGUGGGGAGUCAAACAGGA